GAUCAUCAGUGAUUGUCUCGAUGUUGCGGUUAUAUGAAUGAUCUUUUGAUCUGAGAUGGUAUGACUGUUUAUAGUGAGGCUACUGGACUUUGACUGAUACAUAAACAUUAUCUCAAUGAGCCCUUAUAGUGGAUAUUGACGAUAGUUAUUCCACUGUAGGAGUAAGGUGCGCAUCAAGAUGGGAUCUAUCAAUCUUGAUAAAAAGGAGUAAUUCUAUGGGAU
RNAcentral lists this long non-coding RNA (222 nucleotides) under Elaeis guineensis (African oil palm). RNAcentral describes it as "long non-coding RNA (EGUI_LNC050228)". Lineage: Eukaryota; Viridiplantae; Streptophyta; Magnoliopsida; Arecales; Arecaceae. The record is from RNAcentral.